GAUGAAGAACGCAGCGAAAUGCGAUACGUAAUGUGAAUUGCAGAAUUCAGUGAAUCAUCGAGUCUUUGAACGCACAUUGCGCCCCCUGGUAUUCCGGGGGGCAUGCCUGUCCGAGCGUCAUUGCUGCCCAUCAAGCACGGCUUGUGUGUUGGGUCCCGUCCCCCUCUCCCGGGGGACGGACCCGAAAGGCAGCGGCGGCACCGCGUCCGGUCCUCGAGCGUAUGGGGCUUUGUCACCCGCUCUUGUAGGCCCGGCCGGCGCUUGCCGACACCCAACCAUUUUUUUCAGGUUGACCUCGGAUCAGGUAGGGAUACCCGCUGAACUUAAGCAUAUCAAUAAGCGGAGGA
RNAcentral lists this unclassified non-coding RNA (347 nucleotides) under soil metagenome. RNAcentral's name for it is "partial contains 5.8S ribosomal RNA, internal transcribed spacer 2, and large subunit ribosomal RNA". The stretch from base 1 to 120 matches the Rfam family "5.8S ribosomal RNA", at positions 35 to 154 of the family's 154-position model. The record is from RNAcentral.